This 351-nucleotide ribosomal RNA is filed under the name Sesamia coniota. Its description in RNAcentral is "partial 12S small subunit ribosomal RNA". The record is from RNAcentral. Lineage: Eukaryota; Metazoa; Arthropoda; Insecta; Lepidoptera; Noctuidae.
AAAAUUUAAAUUAAAAAUACUAAAAUAGUAGAUAAAUAUUUCUUGAAACUUAAAUAAUUUGGCGGUAUUUUAGUUCAUUUAGAGGAAUCUGUUUAAUAAUUGAUAUUCCACGAAUAAAUUUACUUAAUUUAUAAUUUUGUAUAUCGUUGUUAUAAAAAUAUUUUUUAAUAAAAUUAAUAUUUAAAAAUUAAAAUUAAAAUUUAAAUCAGAUCAAGAUGCAGAUUAUAAUUAAGAAUAUAAUGGAUUACAAUAAAUUUAUUUAAAUGAAUUUUAAUUUGUAAUAUUUAAUUGAAGGUGGAUUUAAAUGUAAUUUUAUUUAAUUUAAUAAAAUGAUUUAAAAUUAAAAUAUGU